CCUGCCUCACACCCCUUGGUUUACUUUUUUGCCGCUCUUACUAUGCCUGCAUUGAAUAUCUUGACAACAUUAUGAUGUUCUCUCAUUCUGUAACUAUGUCCUUUGUAAGUUCAUUUGCUCUUUAUUGUUUCAAGUUUUCUCCAGUUUACCUUCUUGAAAUCAAUCUUGGUACUUGAUAAUUAGCAGGUGUUUAUCGUUCCUCUGAUGGAUUGUAUAACUAGGCGAUGGUCACUGCCUUCUAGCUGGUCACAUACCUUUCUACUAAUAUUCGUCAGUACAGAAAGCUAAGUCUGGUGUAGUUGUUGAGUGUCAGCGACAAGAAUAGAAGGGUUGGUGUAUCAGUG
This 344-nucleotide long non-coding RNA is filed under the name Mytilus galloprovincialis (Mediterranean mussel). The record is from RNAcentral. Lineage: Eukaryota; Metazoa; Mollusca; Bivalvia; Mytilida; Mytilidae.